AGUUUGAUCAUGGCUCAGAGCGACGCUGGCGGCAGGCCUAAUACAUGCAAGUCGAGCGGGUCCUUCGGGAUUAGCGGCGGACGGGUGAGUAACGCGUGGGAACGUGCCCUUUGGUACGGAACAACUGAGGGAAACUUCAGCUAAUACCGUAUGUGCCCUUCGGGGGAAAGAUUUAUCGCCAUUGGAGCGGCCCGCGUUGGAUUAGGUAGUUGGUGAGGUAAAGGCUCACCAAGCCUACGAUCCAUAGCUGGUCUGAGAGGAUGACCAGCCACACUGGGACUGAGACACGGCCCAGACUCCUACGGGAGGCAGCAGUAGGGAAUCUUGCGCAAUGGGCGAAAGCCUGACGCAGCCAUGCCGCGUGAAUGAUGAAGGUCUUAGGAUUGUAAAAUUCUUUCACCGGGGACGAUAAUGACGGUACCCGGAGAAGAAGCCCCGGCUAACUUCGUG
RNAcentral lists this ribosomal RNA (450 nucleotides) under uncultured bacterium. RNAcentral describes it as "bacterial SSU rRNA". It matches the Rfam family "Bacterial small subunit ribosomal RNA", at positions 10 to 507 of the family's 1533-position model. The record is from RNAcentral.